GCCAGACUCCUACGGGAGGCAGCAGUGGGGGAUAUUGCACAAUGGGGGAAACCCUGAUGCAGCGACGCCGCGUGUGGGAAGACGGUCCUCUGGAUUGUAAACCACUGUCCCCAGGGACGAAAAUGACGGUACCUGGGGAGGAAGCUCCGGCUAACUACGUGCCAGCAGCCGCGGUAAUACGUAGGGGGCAAGCGUUAUCCGGAUUUACUGGGUGUAAAGGGGGCGCAGACGGCAGCGCAAGCCAGGAGUGAAAGCCCGGGGCCCAACCCCGGGACUGCUCUUGGAACUGCGCGGCUGGAGUGCAGGAGGGGCAGGCGGAAUUCCUGGUGUAGCGGUGAAAUGCGUAGAUAUCAGGAGGAACACCGGUGGCGAAGGCGGCCUGCUGGACUGCGACUGACGUUGAGGCCCGAAAGCGUGGGGAGCAAACAGGAUUAGAUACCCGAGUA
This 446-nucleotide ribosomal RNA is filed under the name uncultured bacterium. Its description in RNAcentral is "partial 16S ribosomal RNA". It matches the Rfam family "Bacterial small subunit ribosomal RNA", at positions 330 to 792 of the family's 1533-position model. The record is from RNAcentral.